CCUACGGGACGCAGCAGUGAGGAAUAUUGGUCAAUGGGAGAGAUCCUGAACCAGCCAAGCCGCGUGAGGGAAGACGGCCCUAUGGGUUGUAAACCUCUUUUGUCGGAGAACAAAACCCGGGACGUGUCCCGGACUGCGUGUAUCCGAAGAAAAAGCAUCGGCUAACUCCGUGCCAGCAGCCGCGGUAAUACGGAGGAUGCGAGCGUUAUCCGGAUUUAUUGGGUUUAAAGGGUGCGUAGGUGGUUAAUUAAGUCAGCGGUGAAAGUUUGUGGCUCAACCAUAAAAUUGCCGUUGAAACUGGUUGA
Molecule: ribosomal RNA, 305 nt
Filed under: uncultured bacterium
Lineage: Bacteria
Description: bacterial SSU rRNA
Rfam family: Bacterial small subunit ribosomal RNA
Source: RNAcentral